RNAcentral lists this ribosomal RNA (462 nucleotides) under uncultured bacterium. RNAcentral describes it as "partial 16S ribosomal RNA". It matches the Rfam family "Bacterial small subunit ribosomal RNA", at positions 29 to 505 of the family's 1533-position model. The record is from RNAcentral.
AAUGAACGUUGGCGGCGUGGAUUAGGCAUGCAAGUCGAGCGAGAAUCGUAGCAAUACGAGGACAGUGGCGACAGGGAGAGGAAUACGUAGAAAUCUACCCCUGAGUUCGGGAUAGCGCCGGGAAACUGGCAGUAAUACCGGAUACUGUCUUAGGACCAAAGGUUGGAUUACACUUGUGGAUUAGUCUACGUCCUAUUAGCUAGUUUGUGGGGUAAUGGCCUACCAAGGCGAUGAGGGGUAGCGGGUGUGAGAGCAUGACCCGCCUCACUGGGACUGAGAACUGCCCAGACACCUACGGGUGGCUGCAGUCGAGAAUCUUUGUCAAUGGACGAAAGUCUGAACAAGCGACGCCGCGUGCGGGAUGAAGGCCUUCGGGUUGUAAACCGCUGUCGUAGGGGAACAAAUGUACGUGGUACUCCCCUGUAUUUGAGUGAUCCUAGGAGGAAGGAGAGGCUAAGCUCG